AGCGAACGCUGGCGGCAGGCCUAACACGUGCAAGUCGAACGGAUCCUUCGGGAUUAGUGGCGGACGGGUGAGUAACACGUGGGAACGUGCCCUUUGGUUCGGAACAACUCAGGGAAACUUGAGCUAAUACCGAAUGUGCCCUUCGGGGGAAAGAUUUAUCGCCAUUGGAGCGGCCCGCGUCUGAUUAGCUAGUUGGUGAGGUAACGGCCCACCAAGGCGACGAUCAGUAGCUGGUCUGAGAGGAUGAUCAGCCACACUGGGACUGAGACACGGCCCAGACUCCUACGGGAGGCAGCAGUGGGGAAUCUUGCGCAAUGGGCGAAAGCCUGACGCAGCCAUGCCGCGUGAAUGAUGAAGGUCUUAGGAUGGUAAAAUUCUUUCAGCGGGGACGAUAAUGACGGUACCCGCAGAAGAAGCUCCGGCUAACUUCGU
RNAcentral lists this ribosomal RNA (432 nucleotides) under uncultured bacterium. RNAcentral describes it as "partial 16S ribosomal RNA". It matches the Rfam family "Bacterial small subunit ribosomal RNA", at positions 29 to 506 of the family's 1533-position model. The record is from RNAcentral.